GAUGAAGAACGUAGCGAAAUGCGAUAAGUAAUGCGAAUUGCAGAAUUCAGUGAGUCAUCGAAUCUUUGAACGCACAUUGCGCCCUGUGGUAUUCCGCAGGGCAUGCCUGUUCGAGCGUCAUUUCAACCCUCAAGCCUCGCUUGGUGUUGGGCCCUGCCCGCCGCGGCCGGCCCUAAAGAUAGUGGCGGCGCCGCCUGGCCCUCAGCGUAGUACAGCUCUCGCUCCAGGGUCCGGCGGCAGCCUGCCAGAACCCCCCAACUCUGUGGUUGACCUCGGAUCAGGUAGGGAUACCCGCUGAACUUAAGCAUAUCAAUAAGCGGAGGA
This 324-nucleotide unclassified non-coding RNA is filed under the name soil metagenome. RNAcentral describes it as "partial contains 5.8S ribosomal RNA, internal transcribed spacer 2, and large subunit ribosomal RNA". The stretch from base 1 to 120 matches the Rfam family "5.8S ribosomal RNA", at positions 35 to 154 of the family's 154-position model. The record is from RNAcentral.